RNAcentral lists this ribosomal RNA (481 nucleotides) under uncultured bacterium. RNAcentral describes it as "partial 16S ribosomal RNA". It matches the Rfam family "Bacterial small subunit ribosomal RNA", at positions 28 to 507 of the family's 1533-position model. The record is from RNAcentral.
GACGAACGCUGGCGGCGUGCUUAACACAUGCAAGUCGAACGGGAUCCGGGCUUUCGGGUUUGGUGAGAGUGGCGAACGGGUGAGUAACACGUGAGUAACCUGCCCCCUUCUUUGGGAUAACGUCGGGAAAUCGGCGCUAAUACUGGAUAUUCUUGCUGCAUCGCAUGGUGUGGUUUGGAAAGGGUUUCUGGUGGGGGAUGGGCUCGCGGCCUAUCAGCUUGUUGGUGGGGUGAUGGCCUACCAAGGCUUUGACGGGUAGCCGGCCUGAGAGGGUGUCCGGCCACACUGGGACUGAGACACGGCCCAGACUCCUACGGGAGGCAGCAGUGGGGAAUAGUGCACAAUGGGCGCAAGCCUGAUGCAGCGACGCCGCGUGAGGGAUGACGGCCUUCGGGUUGUAAACCUCUUUCAGUAUGGAACAAGGAUCCUUCUUUUGGGGGGUUUGAGGGUACGUGCAGAAGAAGCGCCGGCUAACUACGUG